This 646-nucleotide ribosomal RNA is filed under the name fungal endophyte. RNAcentral's name for it is "eukaryotic LSU rRNA". The stretch from base 179 to 332 matches the Rfam family "5.8S ribosomal RNA". The record is from RNAcentral. Lineage: Eukaryota; Fungi.
UAAAGAGUUCUAUAACUCCCAAACCCAUGUGAACAUACCUAACGUUGCCUCGGCAGGUCGCACCUACCUUGUAGCACCCUACCCUGUAGGGCCUACCCGGGAGGUGCGGGUAAGCCUGCCGGCGGCCCACCAAACUCUGUUUGAUAUUGAAUUCUGAACCUAUAACUAAAUAAGUUAAAACUUUCAACAACGGAUCUCUUGGUUCUGGCAUCGAUGAAGAACGCAGCGAAAUGCGAUAAGUAAUGUGAAUUGCAGAAUUCAGUGAAUCAUCGAAUCUUUGAACGCAUAUUGCGCCCAUUAGUAUUCUAGUGGGCAGGACCGUUCGAGCGUCAUUUCAACCCUUAAGCCUUCGUUGCUUAGUGUUGGGAGCCUACGGCAACGUAGCUCCUCAAAGUUAGUGGCGGAGUUGGUUCACACUCUAGACGUAGUAAUUUUUUAUCUCGCCUAUUAGUUGGACUAAUCCCCUGCCGUAAAACCCCUAAUUUAUCAAGGUUGACCUCGAAUCGGUUCAGACAAACUCGCUAAAUUGAAGCAUCUUAGUCAGCGAAGGAAAAGAAACCAACAGGGAUUGCCCUAGUAACGGCGAGUGAAGCGGCAACAGCUCAAAUUUGAAAUCUGGCCCUCGGGUCCGAGUUGUAAUUUGUAG